This 231-nucleotide long non-coding RNA is filed under the name Carica papaya (papaya). Its description in RNAcentral is "long non-coding RNA (CPAP_LNC010934)". The record is from RNAcentral. Lineage: Eukaryota; Viridiplantae; Streptophyta; Magnoliopsida; Brassicales; Caricaceae.
UACUGAGGCCAGAAGUGGCUGUAAAAUACAAAAUAAAAUAUAAGGGGCCACUUCUUUCACUAUGCUAUUGGACUCAUCAGAGUGCAGGAACAAUCAUGCACUCAGACUUGCAGAUCCAUGAGAUCCUCGUAGACUUCCAAAGGUAGGUCAGCCUGCGGUUCCACUUUCUUCCUCAUUUAGGGGGGGGGGGACAUGGUAAGAGUGAGUUCCAUAUGCUCAGUAAGAAAAAUA